GCAGAGUAGGAACACACGUGUGAAAGAGUGCCGGAAAAACGGGGAGUUGUUUUCCGGACGAAAGGGCGAGCGAGCGCCUGCAGUGUGUGUUCCGCAUCCCGCUGC
This 105-nucleotide non-coding RNA is filed under the name uncultured Dysosmobacter sp. Its description in RNAcentral is "THF riboswitch". It matches the Rfam family "THF (Tetrahydrofolate) riboswitch aptamer". Rfam says of the family: THF riboswitch presents a pseudoknot that joins P1-P2 and the loop of P3 and two THF binding. Lineage: Bacteria; Bacillati; Bacillota; Clostridia; Eubacteriales; Oscillospiraceae. The record is from RNAcentral.